AGAACGAACGCUGGCGGCAGGCCUCAAACAUGCAAGUCUAGGGGGUGUAGCAAUACAUCACCGGCGGACGGGUGCGUAACGCGUGGGAAUAUACCUAUUGGUUCGGAACAACUGAGGGAAACUUCAGCUAAUACCGAAUAAGUCCUUACGGAGAAAGAUUUAUCGCCAAUAGAUUAGCCCGCGUUCGAUUAGCUAGUUGGUGGGGUAACGGCCCACCAAGGCGACGAUCGAUAGCUGUUCUGAGAGGAAGAUCAGCCACACUGGGACUGAGACACGGCCCAGACUCCUACGGGAGGCAGCAGUUGGGAAUCUUGGACAAUGGGGGAAACCCUGAUCCAGCCAUGCCGCGUGAGUGAUGAAGGCCUUCGGGUUGUAAAACUCUUUCGCGCACGACGAUAAUGACGGUAGUGCGAGAAGAAGCUCCGGCUAACUUCGUGCCAGCAGCCGC
This 448-nucleotide ribosomal RNA is filed under the name uncultured bacterium. Its description in RNAcentral is "SSU rRNA". It matches the Rfam family "Bacterial small subunit ribosomal RNA", at positions 26 to 518 of the family's 1533-position model. The record is from RNAcentral.